UACAGAGGUCUCAAGCGUUGUUCGGAUUCAUUGGGCGUAAAGGGUGCGUAGGUGGCGCCGUAAGUCAGGUGUGAAAUUUCGGAGCUUAACUCCGAAACUGCAUUUGAUACUGCGGUGCUUGAGGACUGGAGAGGAGACUGGAAUUUACGGUGUAGCAGUGAAAUGCGUAGAUAUCGUAAGGAAGACCAGUGGCGAAGGCGAAUCUCUGGGCAGCUGCUGACGCUGAGGCACGAAGGCCAGGGGAGCGAACGGG
This 253-nucleotide ribosomal RNA is filed under the name uncultured bacterium. RNAcentral's name for it is "partial 16S ribosomal RNA". It matches the Rfam family "Bacterial small subunit ribosomal RNA", at positions 524 to 776 of the family's 1533-position model. The record is from RNAcentral.